GUGUAGCGGUGAAAUGCGCAGAGAUAUGGAGGAACACCAGUGGCGAAGGCGACUUUCUGGUCUGUAACUGACGCUGAUGUGCGAAAGCGUGGGGAUCAAACAGGAUUAGAUCCCCUGGUAGUCCACGCCGUAAACGAUGAGUGCUAAGUGUUAGGGGGUUUCCGCCCCUUAGUGCUGCAGCUAACGCAUUAAGCACUCCGCCUGGGGAGUACGACCGCAAGGUUGAAACUCAAAGGAAU
This 239-nucleotide ribosomal RNA is filed under the name Staphylococcus aureus. RNAcentral's name for it is "partial 16S ribosomal RNA". It matches the Rfam family "Bacterial small subunit ribosomal RNA", at positions 673 to 910 of the family's 1533-position model. Lineage: Bacteria; Bacillati; Bacillota; Bacilli; Caryophanales; Staphylococcaceae. The record is from RNAcentral.